CAUGCAAGUCGAACGGCAGCACGGACUUCGGUCUGGUGGCGAGUGGCGAACGGGUGAGUAAUAUAUCGGAACAUACCCAGUAGUGGGGGAUAACUAUCCGAAAGGAUAGCUAAUACCGCAUACGAUCUGUGGAUGAAAGCAGGGGAUCUUCGGACCUUGUGCUAUUGGAAUGGCCGAUAUCUGAUUAGCUAGUUGGUAGGGUAAAAGCCUACCAAGGCGACGAUCAGUAGCUGGUCUGAGAGGACGACCAGCCACACUGGAACUGAGACACGGUCCAGACUCCUACGGGAGGCAGCAGUGGGGAAUUUUGGACAAUGGGGGCAACCCUGAUCCAGCAAUGCCGCGUGAGUGAAGAAGGCCCUCGGGUUGUAAAGCUCUUUUGUCAGGGAAGAAACGGAGUUCUCUAAUAUAGGAUUCUAAUGACGGUACCUGAAGAAUAAGCACCGGCUAACUACGUGCCAGCAGCCGCGGUAAUACGUAGGGUGCAAGCGUUAAUCGGAAUUACUGGGCGUAAAGCGUGCGCAGGCGGUUUUGUAAGUCUGAUGUGAAAUCCCCGGGCUCAACCUGGGAACUGCAUUGGAGACUGCAAGGCUAGAGUGUGUCAGAGGGGGGUAGAAUUCCACGCGUAGCAGUUGAAAUGCGUAGAGAUGUGGAGGAAUACCGAUGGCGAA
Molecule: ribosomal RNA, 671 nt
Filed under: uncultured Burkholderiales bacterium
Lineage: Bacteria; Pseudomonadati; Pseudomonadota; Betaproteobacteria; Burkholderiales
Description: bacterial SSU rRNA
Rfam family: Bacterial small subunit ribosomal RNA
Source: RNAcentral